GCCCGGUUAGCUCAGUUGGAAGAGCACAUUCUUGGUAAGAAUGGGGUCGGCGGUUCGACUCCGCCACCGGGCUCCA
Molecule: transfer RNA, 76 nt
Filed under: candidate division WWE3 bacterium
Lineage: Bacteria; candidate division WWE3
Description: tRNA-Thr
Rfam family: tRNA
About the family: Transfer RNA (tRNA) molecules are approximately 80 nucleotides in length. Their secondary structure includes four short double-helical elements and three loops (D, anti-codon, and T loops).
Source: RNAcentral